CCUACGGGUGGCUGCAGUGGGGAAUCUUGGACAAUGGGCGCAAGCCUGAACCAGCGACGCCGCGUGAGUGAAGAAGGCCUUCGGAGUGUUAAACUCUGUUGUUAGAGAAAAAAGUGCAGGCGAGUAACUGUUUAUGUAUCGACGGUAUCUAAACAGAAAGCCACGCCUAACUACGUGCCAGCAGGUGAGGUAGUGGGGAGGGGGCAAGUGUUAUUUGGAUUUAUUGGGUGUAAAGGGAACGUAGGCGGGUUUUUAAGUCUGACGUGAAAGGGUGCGGCUCAACCGUAGAAGUGCAUUUGAUACUGGCAGGCUUGAGUGCAGGUGAGGUAAGCGGAAUUCCUGGUGUAGCGGUGAAAUGCGUAGAUAUCAGGAAGAACACCAGUGGCGAAGGCGGCUUACUAAACUGUAACUGACAUUGAGGCUCGAAAGCGUGGGUAUCAAACAGGAUUAGAUACCCUAGUAGUC
This 465-nucleotide ribosomal RNA is filed under the name uncultured bacterium. RNAcentral's name for it is "partial 16S ribosomal RNA". It matches the Rfam family "Bacterial small subunit ribosomal RNA", at positions 338 to 795 of the family's 1533-position model. The record is from RNAcentral.